CCAGUGUCAGAUGACAGGAUAACGAGCUCCUUUAUUCAGUGCUGCAUCCAGGAGGAAUUCUUACUGUCUUUUGUCUUACAUAUUGACAGCUCGCUGAGGUCGAUGACUUUGUCUGUUUGGCUGAUCACUGUGACCCCAGUGUUUGCACAGCUAAUACCAGGAUACAAAAACACCCAGGAGACACCCUCCUGGCCAUGCCUGCACAGAUAUUUCCAGAGAAGUUUAACUGAGGAAGGAAGACAUCCCGAAUGCAAGUGGCACCCUUCCCCCAGGCUAGUGUCUGAAUGAAAAAGGAAACAGAGAAAGACAGCUGAACACCAGCAUUCAUCUCUGGCUGCUCCCUGGUCCACCCAGAGGAAGCAGCUUUCUUUUCCUGCCACCAUGCCUUCCCCAUCCCGAUGGAUAGUGUCCUUCUCAAAUUGUAAACCAGUUCUUCCAGUCAGUAUGUUGUCAUAGCAACAAGAAAACCAAGUAGAACUGACAGGUUGUCACAAGACACACAGGAAAGGACAAUGUUAGGAGAUGGAAUAGAGAAUGGGCUAAGUAGAACAGCUUGUAAGAAUUCAGGAUUAUGGGGCUCCCCGGCCCCCCAACAAACAACACUCAAGUUUUUUCUCACAGCAUGGUUAUGACGCUCUAAGAUAAAAAUGUAUCCAUAUACAAAUGAGAACUAACUCUUAUUAAGUGGUAAGAGGAGUUUUAACCAUAUUCGAGAACCUCAAGAUACAGCUAGGGAAUGAACUGACCCAUGAACAUUAGGAUUGGUUAUCUUGAAGUCAUAGAAACACACACACACACACACACACACAUCACAAAAAUAUAGGAAACGAAAACAAGUCAUUUUCUGUAGCAGAAAGUCCAACUAAAGGAAGUUUUUCCAAAGAGCAGAGUACCAAGGACCUUGAGCUCUUUCUAAGUUAGGGGAGCUAAAGUCACUUCUGUGGGUUUACUUAAAAAGAUAAGUCCCCUGGAAUAACUUGGUUUAUAUUUUGAGAAAGAUGGGAACAUUUUGCUACAGACUAAAGGGCCAUUUAAAAAUGCUUCAGGUCCUUUAAAGGAUGUUAAAGGGAGACUUGGAGAAACAAGAUAAUUGCUUGCAGAGAUCAAGUGUCAGCGUGGUAAUGUUGCUAACAGAAGAAAGAAGGAAAAUAUGAUUGUAUGUUUUUAGUGGGGAAAAAAAAAAAGAGUUGGCACUAUGCCAGGUUCAGGAAAGAACAAGCAAAUGCCAAAAGGAGUUUCAAAAUCACUCGCUAUAGAAGGCUGGAAGCAAGUGGCUAAAGCAUAAUUUAGGGUUAAAUCUCACCAUUAUUGAGUUACUACCACAUGGCUCAAAUCUUAGAAAACUAAAUCAGUUCGAUAAUGAAGGAAGUGUGUUGUCUGUGGAAGUUUGGCCUUGCUGAUGUAGGGGCUGUAAUGCCUGGUGAUGAUAGCUCUAUGUAUUUGACAACUCGAUAAAAUUUGA
This is a long non-coding RNA of Mus pahari (shrew mouse), 1462 nucleotides long. RefSeq lists it as uncharacterized. Lineage: Eukaryota; Metazoa; Chordata; Mammalia; Rodentia; Muridae. The record is from RefSeq and is a predicted model, not a curated record. The transcript has 3 exons.